UCGCGCUAAGCGGGGAGCCAGCGGUGCCCUGAAUCUGCAAUCCGCUCAGCAGAGCUGAAUUCCCGCGCCGAGGCCCACUCUUGUGGAGCUGGCCGGAGUACGGAGCGACAACGAAGUGGGUCCUAUGCGACGGCGCGGCGUGAACCCCGCCAGGGCCGGAAGGCAGCAACGGUAAGCGCUUCCCGCCGUGCGCCGUAGGUGUCCUACUUCCAGCCACCGGCUCCGAUACCGUCCGUAAGGGCGUGGUCGAAGCGUGGGUGCGCGG
This 265-nucleotide signal recognition particle RNA is filed under the name Abditibacteriaceae bacterium. RNAcentral's name for it is "Abitibacteriaceae bacterium (rhizosphere metagenome) signal recognition particle sRNA large type". It matches the Rfam family "Bacterial large signal recognition particle RNA". Rfam says of the family: The signal recognition particle (SRP) is a universally conserved ribonucleoprotein involved in the co-translational targeting of proteins to membranes. Lineage: Bacteria; Pseudomonadati; Abditibacteriota; Abditibacteriia; Abditibacteriales; Abditibacteriaceae. The record is from RNAcentral.